UCCGGAGGCGGCGGCCGCCUUACCUUGACAAGUCGUAACGGUAAGCACAAAGAGCUUGCUCUCGUGGUGACGAGUGGCGGACGGGUGAGUAAUGUCUGGGAAACUGCCUGAUGGAGGGGGAUAACUACUGGAAACGGUAGCUAAUACCGCAUAACGUCGCAAGACCAAAGAGGGGGACCUUCGGGCCUCUUGCCAUCAGAUGUGCCCAGAUGGGAUUAGCUAGUAGGUGGGGUAACGGCUCACCUAGGCGACGAUCCCUAGCUGGUCUGAGAGGAUGACCAGCCACACUGGAACUGAGACACGGUCCAGACUCCUACGGGAGGCAGCAGUGGGGAAUAUUGCACAAUGGGCGCAAGCCUGAUGCAGCCAUGCCGCGUGUAUGAAGAAGGCCUUCGGGUUGUAAAGUACUUUCAGCGGGGAGGAAGGUGUUGUGGUUAAUAACCACAGCAAUUGACGUUACCCGCAGAAGAAGCACCGGCUAACUCCGUGCCAGCAGCCGCGGUAAUACGGAGGGUGCAAGCGUUAAUCGGAAUUACUGGGCGUAAAGCGCACGCAGGCGGUCUGUCAAGUCGGAUGUGAAAUCCCCGGGCUCAACCUGGGAACUGCAUUCGAAACUGGCAGGCUGGAGUCUUGUAGAGGGGGGUAGAAUUCCAGGUGUAGCGGUGAAAUGCGUAGAGAUCUGGAGGAAUACCGGUGGCGAAGGCGGCCCCCUGGACAAAGACUGACGCUCAGGUGCGAAAGCGUGAGGAGCAAACAGGAUUAGAUACCCUGGUAGUCCACGCCGUAAACUAUGUCUAUUUGGAGGUUGUGCCCUUGAGGCGUGGCUUCCGGAGCUAACGCGUUAAAUCGACCGCCUGGGGAGUACUGCCGCAAGGUUAAAACUCAAAUGAAUUGACGGGGGCCCGCACAUGCUGUGGAGCAUGUGGUUUAAUUCAAUGCAACGCGAAGAACCUUACCUGGUCUUGACAUCCACAGAACUUUCCAGAGAUGGAUUGGUGCCUUCGGGAACUGUGAGACAGGUGCUGCAUGGCUGUCAUCAACUCGUGUUGUGAAAUGUUGGUUAAAUCCUCCAACAAGCGCACCCUUUUCCUUGGUGCCAGCGGUAGGCCGGGAACUCAAAGAAACUGCCAUUGUAAACUGUACAAAGUG
RNAcentral lists this ribosomal RNA (1149 nucleotides) under Enterobacter cloacae. RNAcentral describes it as "bacterial SSU rRNA". It matches the Rfam family "Bacterial small subunit ribosomal RNA", at positions 32 to 1175 of the family's 1533-position model. Lineage: Bacteria; Pseudomonadati; Pseudomonadota; Gammaproteobacteria; Enterobacterales; Enterobacteriaceae. The record is from RNAcentral.